GGGACUGAAAGGAUUUCUACAUAUUGAUAUCUUAUUUGUUUUUUAUUUAACUAAUCAAACUUAUUAAUUUUUUAUAUAUUAAAGCUAGUUAUUCAUAUAGCUGUAUUAAAAAUUAAUAAAAAGAUAGUAAUUUAAUUGCAAAACAUAAUAUUAUAUCUUUUUCUAAAAAUUUAUUAUUAGUAUAAAUUAGUGAGAUCUUAAAUUCUAUUUUCUUGUUUUAAUUUAUUGAUUUAUUCAGAGAAUGCUCUAAUUGCAAAUUUGAAUUUUUUAUCCAAUUAGAAAAGUUUAAAUUAUUUGAAUUUAAAAGUUUAUUGAUUAUGAUUUAGUUGAAAAAUUAUUGAUUAAAUAUUUUAUCAAUAUGGACGUGGGUUCAAAUCCCACCAGUUCCA
This 389-nucleotide non-coding RNA is filed under the name Gredgaria maugeana. Lineage: Eukaryota; Rhodophyta; Florideophyceae; Ceramiales; Rhodomelaceae. The record is from RNAcentral.